This 509-nucleotide ribosomal RNA is filed under the name Agapophytus bicolor. RNAcentral describes it as "partial 16S ribosomal RNA". It matches the Rfam family "Bacterial large subunit ribosomal RNA", at positions 1808 to 2587 of the family's 2925-position model. Lineage: Eukaryota; Metazoa; Arthropoda; Insecta; Diptera; Therevidae. The record is from RNAcentral.
CAAAAACAUGUCCUUUAGAAUUUAAUUUAAGGUCUAACCUGCCCACUGAAAAGUUUUAAAUGGCCGCAGUAUUUUAACUGUGCAAAGGUAGCAUAAUCAUUAGUCUUUUAAUUGAAGGCUUGUAUGAAUGGUUGGACGAAAUAUUAACUGUUUCAUAAAAAUUGGUUUAGAAUUUUAUUUUUUAGUCAAAAAGCUAAAAUUUUUUUAAAAGACGAGAAGACCCUAUAGAUCUUUAUAAUUUAUUUAUUAUAACUAUUUAGAUAAUUUAGGUUAUAAUUGUAUAAAUUAUUUUGUUGGGGUGACAUUAAAAUUUAAUUAACUUUUAAUAUUUUGUUACAUUGAUUUAUGAUUAAUUGAUCCAUUAUUAAUGAUUAAAAAUUUAAGUUACCUUAGGGAUAACAGCGUAAUUUUUUUGAAGAGUUCAUAUCGAUAAAAAAGAUUGCGACCUCGAUGUUGGAUUAAGAUAUAAUUUUGGGUGCAGCAAUUCAAUUAUUAAGUCUGUCCGACUU